UACGUAGGGUGCAAGCGUUGUCCGGAAUUAUUGGGCGUAAAGAGCUUGUAGGCGGUUUGCCGCGUCUGCUGUGAAAUUUCGGGGCUCAACCCCGAACUUGCAGUGGGUACGGGCAGACUAGAGUGUGGUAGGGGAGACUGGAAUUCCUGGUGUAGCGGUGAAAUGCGCAGAUAUCAGGAGGAACACCGAUGGCGAAGGCAGGUCUCUGGGCCACUACUGACGCUGAGAAGCGAAAGCAUGGGGAGCGAACAGG
Molecule: ribosomal RNA, 253 nt
Filed under: uncultured bacterium
Lineage: Bacteria
Description: partial 16S ribosomal RNA
Rfam family: Bacterial small subunit ribosomal RNA
Source: RNAcentral